CACACUGUUGCUGAUUAUCUGAACAAAGGGAUUUUAUUGUUCUGUGCAUGAUUGUGUGUUUGAGAAGUCUGACGUGACCUGUCUUAAUGCCAACUCAUCACUUCUCUAAGCAGCUAGAGUCUAAUGGCAUUAUAUAGCCAUUUUGUUGUAAAUUAGUGUUUCCCUAGGCAGUGUGUUGGAGUGAAAUAUGGCUAUUCAGAGGAGUGGUCCAUAAACCAGGUCUGGCUGUUACACUAAGAGAAACUUUUACACACAGAUGUGAGUUCUGACCAUCUGGCUACCCAAACCCCCCCCUCUCUCCCAUCCUGUUGUGAGGUAGUAUAUCAGAGUGAAGAGUGAAAUGGAUGAGGUGUCUUCCUGUGUGAGGAGACAGAGGGUAAGAGUCAGUAAUUAGCACGCAGACAGUUUUAGGUUCUCCGAGUGACGCUCAUUUACUGCCUUUCUAUACAAUUAAAAACCGUUUUGGAGAACAAUAAAAAUGACCCCAGCCAUUAUCACCUUGGCUGCUGUAGGUUCAUUCAAACACAUCCUAUUAGCUAUACAAUUUUAUUCGUAUCUCUAUUUAACUAGGUAAGUCAGUUAAAAACAAAUUCUUAUUUAUAAUGACGGCCUAGGAACAGUGGGUUAACUUCCUUAUUCAGGGGCAGAACUUCAGAUUUGUACUUCGUCAGCUGGGGGAUUCGAUCUUGCAACCUUUUGGCUACUAGUCCAAUGCUCUAACCACUAGGCUACACUGCCGCCCCAUUGUAAUGUUGUACCCCUGAAAUGGGGGGGGGGGAUAUGAUCAGUUAUUCACACCGACACGUAGCAUUGAUGAAAACGUAUGACAUUUUAAUGUAGGCAUACAGGGAAGAUGAUCAUAUUGAAACCGUUCCUAAUUUUGUCAUGGAACCACUUAACUUCUCUCUGCUUAUUCCUCCCUCUGGUUUUCCCCUGCCUCACCAAUGUCACCAAUGUCUAGACACAGCGGGAGUCGCAGGACGGUGUCGCCGCCAGCCUGUGUUGCGAGACUGAACCGUUUGAAUGUGCUGCUCAGAAGGAAAAUCCAGGAGACGCAGGCAAACAUAACAAACAAUCCAUUGUUCAUGAUUCCACUUGUUUGUAAAAAGAGUAAAGUUGCCCAGCAAAAAAACAAGUAAUGUUGCUUAAACAGAAGGAGAACGAACAGUCGCUGACAACCAAAACCAGUGUGGUUUUAGGAGGGGUUCUGAAAGACACUCAUGGGGGUGUCCCCAGAAAGUUGACUAGCAACAACAACAACUGGAACGUAACACACUUACCAGGAGCACCAACUACAUUUGCCCAAGAUUAAAAAAAAAUAGAAACUUAAUGACAGGAUACUAAAAAAAAAUGUCACUAAGUGAAAUCAGAUAAAGGAUUAUUUGUCUAAAACUCAAACUAAGGUGCCAACUAAAGGUGUUAACCCUCCGCAUCUAUCAAGACAACAGGAGCACUGGGCCAGCACAGGUGUAACACAUACUGACUAACGAGACGGCAACCAGCACAGGUGUAACACAUACUGACUAACGAGACGGCAACCAGCACAGGUGUAACACAUACUGACUAACGAGACAGCAACCAGCACAGGUGUAACACAUACUGACUAACGAGACAGCAACCAGCACAGGUGUAACACAUACUGACUAACGAGGUGACACCACUUGGUGCAUCUAUGUGCUAACGAGCUAUAUGUCCAACCUCAAAAAACAUACAUGGAAAAACCUAAGCCUGUAACAUGGAGGUAGGUGCGAUUAGGUCAAUAAUAUAGGCCUUCUGAGCUUUAAUCAACGCUGUGAGUAAUAUUUCGAUGUUGACCAGUAAUAGAUUUUCUUUGUGUACAAAAGAUACACUGAGUGUAGAAAACAUUAGGAACUGCUGCUCUUUCCAUGACAUAGACUGACCAGGUGAAUCCAGAUGAAAGCUAUGAUCCCUUACUGAUGUCACUUGUUAAAUCCACUUCAAUCAGUGUAGAUGAAGGGGAGGAAACAGGUUAAAGAAAGAUGUUUAAGCCCUGAGACAGGUGUUGUGUGCGUGUGCCAUUCAGAGGGUGAACCAGCGGGACAAAAUAUUUACGUGUCUUUGAACGGGGUAUGGUAGUUGGUGCCAGGAGCACCAGUUUGUGUCAAGAACUGCAACGCUGCUGGGUUUUUCUCAUCUGUGUAGAAACUAGGGCCUGUAGGACCUGCCUUGUUGACAGUGCUGUCAAGAAGGUAGAAACGAGGGCCUGUAGGACCUGCCUUGUUGACAGUGCUGUCAAGAAGGUAGAAACUAGGGCCUGUAGGACCUGCCUUGUUGACAGUGCUGUCAAGAAGGUAGAAACGAGGGCCUGUAGGACCUGCCUUGUUGACAGUGCUGUCAAGAAGGUAGAAACGAGGGCCUGUAGGACCUGCCUUGUUGACAGUGCUGUCAAGAAGGUAGAAACGAGGGCCUGUAGGACCUGCCUUGUUGACAGUGCUGUCAAGAAGGUAGAAACGAGGGCCUGUAGGACCUGCCUUGUUGACAGUGCUGUCAAGAAGGUAGAAACGAGGGCCUGUAGGACCUGCCUUGUUGACAGUGCUGUCAAGAAGGUAGAAACGAGGGCCUGUAGGACCUGCCUUGUUGACAGUGCUGUCAAGAAGGUAGAAACUAGGACCUGCCUUGUUGACAGUGCUGUCAAGAAGGUAGAAACUAGGGCCUGUCGGACCUGCCUUGUUGACAGUGCUGUCAAGAAGGUAGAAACUAGGGCCUGUUGGACCUGCCUUGUUGACAGUGCUGUCAAGAAGGUAGAAACUAGGGCCUGUCGGACCUGCCUUGUUGACAGUGCUGUCAAGAAGGUAGAAACUAGGACUUGCCUUGUUGACAGUGCUGUCAAGAAGGUAGAAACGAGGGCCUGUAGGACCUGCCUUGUUGACAGUGCUGUCAAGAAGGUAGAAACUAGGGCCUGUCGGACCUGCCUUGUUGACAGUGCUGUCAAGAAGGUAGAAACUAGGACUUGCCUUGUUGACAGUGCUGUCAAGAAGGUAGAAACUAGGGCCUGUAGGACCUGCCUUGUUGACAGUGCUGUCAAGAAGGUAGAAACGAGGGCCUGUAGGACCUGCCUUGUUGACAGUGCUGUCAAGAAGGUAGAAACUAGGGCCUGUAGGACCUGCCUUGUUGACAGUGCUGUCAAGAAGGUAGAAACUAGGGCCUGUAGGACCUGCCUUGUUGACAGUGCUGUCAAGAAGGUAGAAACUAGGGCCUGUAGGACCUGCCUUGUUGACAGUGCUGUCAAGAAGGUAGAAACUAGGGCCUGUAGGACCUGCCUUGUUGACAGUGCUGUCAAGAAGGUAGAAACUAGGGCCUGUAGGACCUGCCUUGUUGACAGUGCUGUCAAGAAGGUAGAAACUAGGGCCUGUAGGACCUGCCUUGUUGACAGUGCUGUCAAGAAGGUAGAAACUAGGGCCUGUAGGACCUGCCUUGUUGACAGUGCUGUCAAGAAGGUAGACACUAGGGCCUGUAGGACCUGCCUUGUUGACAGUGCUGUCAAGAAGGUAGAAACUAGGGCCUGUAGGACCUGCCUUGUUGACAGUGCUGUCAAGAAGGUAGAAACUAGGGCCUGUAGGACCUGCCUUGUUGACAGUGCUGUCAAGAAGGUAGAAACUAGGGCCUGUAGGACCUGCCUUGUUGACAGUGCUGUCAAGAAGGUAGAAACUAGGGCCUGUAGGACCUGCCUUGUUGACAGUGCUGUCAAGAAGGUAGAAACUAGGGCCUGUAGGACCUGCCUUGUUGACAGUGCUGUCAAGAAGGUAGAAACUAGGGCUUGUAGGACCUGCCUUGUUGAUAGUGCUGUCAACAAGGUAGAGCAGUGCCUUAUCAUGGACAGACUUCUCCCCAUCUUAGCUACUGUUGUAUCAAUAUGUUUUGACCAUGACAGUUUACAAUCCAGGGUUACUCCAAGCAGUUUAGUCACCUCAGCUUGCUCAACUUCCACAUGAUUUAUUACAAGAUUUAGUUGAGGGUUAAGGUUUAGUGAGUGUUUUAGAAAUAAUUAGGGCUAACUUAUUCCUUGCCGCCCACUCUGAAACUAACUGCAGCUCUAAGGGUUGCAGUCAUUUCAGUCGCUGUAGUAGCUGACGUGUAUAGUGUUGAGUCAUCCGCAUACAUAGAAACUCUGGCUUUACUCAGUCAAUGGCAUGCCACAAUCAUUUUAUCAUUUUCUCUCAGCCAAUCAUCAAUCAUUUGUGUAAGUGCUGUGCUUGUUGGGUGUCCUUCCCUAUAAGCAUGCUGAAAGUUUGUUGUCAAUUUGUUUACUGUAAAAUAGCAUUGUAUCUUGUCAAACACAAUUUUCCCCAGAAGUUUACUAAGGGUUGGUAACAGUCUGAUUGGUCGGUUAUUUGAGCUAGUAAAGCGGGCUUUAGGUAGUGGAAUUACUUUUAGGCUUAAAUUGAAGAUGUUUGAAUAGGAGUGGCAAUAUCAUCUGCUAUUAUCCUCAGUCAUUUUCCAUCCAGAUUGUCAGACCCCGGUGGCUUGUGAUUGUUGAUAGACAACAAUCAUGUUUUCACCUCUUUCACACGGACUUUACGGAAUUAAAAAGUACAAUUCUUGUAUUUCAUAAUUUGGUCUGAUAUACUUGGAUGUGUAGCGUCAGCAUUUGUUGCCGGCAUGUCAUCGCUAAGUGUUCUUAUCUUGCCAAUGAAAAAGUAAUUCAAGUAGUUUGCAAUAUCAGUGGGCUAUGUGAUGAAUGAGCCAUCUGAUUCAAUGAAUGAAGUAGCCGAGUUGGCUUUUUUCCCCAAAAUGUAAUUUAAGGUGCCCCAAUGCAUUUUACUAUCAUUCUUUAUAUAAUUUAUCUUUGUUUCAUAGUGUAGUUUAUUUUUAUGUAGUUUAGUCACAUGAUUUCUUAAUUUGCAGUACGUUUGCCAAUCAGUUGGGCUGCCAGACCUAAUUGCCACCUUUUGUCUCAUCCCUCUCAACUGUACGAUUUUUCAAUUCCUCAUCAAUCCAAGGGGAUUUACAGUAAUUUUCUUAAUGAAUUCGUGCUUAUUAGUAACUGGAAUAAGUAGUUUCAUAAAUGCUUCAAGUGCAGCGUCUGUUUGUUCCUCAUUACACACCGAAGACCAGCAAAUAUUCUUUACAUCAUCAACAUAUGAAUCACUACAAAACUUAUUGUGAUUUAUGUGUGUAUACAUAUGUCAGCUGUAUGUGUCUAUUGUGUACAGAAUAUUUAUGGCGUGUGUGUAUGAUGUGGUAACCAGUUUGCUAACCAGUUGACCUAGCACUGACCCUCUGACCUCCAGAUGACCCCUGCCCCUAGCCUGGUGUCCAUCCUGAAGAGGAGGAGGAGGAGUGUGUGUGUGGAGAAUGUGUGUGUUGCUCCCUCCUCGGUCCCGCACAAACAUCCUGCUAAGCGCAGGGUCCGCUUCAAAGUACCUGAUGACGGCUUUGACCAGGACCAGGUGGGCGGAGACUCAUGCCUGCUCCUCUUCCUGCUCUGCCUGGUCACCGUGGUGAUCAGCCUGGGAGGCACUGCCCUCUACUGUGCUCUGGGCAACACCCACUCCACCGUCUGCACCGACUUUUCUCGGAACGCGGACUUCUACCUCGCACAGCUGCAUCGUGGAAUGGAUCAGCUCCGACACUGGCUGACCCCUGGGUUUUAGCUGACCCCCAAGGAGGAGAGAAGUUAGGAGAUGAAGGAGAGGAAGGAGAAUCCCUUGUUUUGCAAGGUGGUUAUUCUCCUUUCUCCAACUUGGACAGGAUUUCUCUCCAUGUCCUCCUGUUUUCCUCUCUCUCUCUCUCUCUCUCUCUCUGUCUUCACUGGCUGGCCAGUUAAUGUGUGUGAUGGGAGAGCGAGUGAUGGAAGGUGUAUGUGAUACUAGUAGCCUGCAACCACACUAACAGCAGCCUAAGACAUCUGCAGCGCUGCCUAGUAGAACUAGUAGGACUGACAUAGGACCUGUAAUAUAUUGGACUACCUAUAGAUUUUAACUAUACACUACUGGACAUAGAGCGACUCUGUGUCAGCCCAGAGGAAGGGAUAGACUGGGCUAGACUCAUUACCACUUAGCUCGGAUCCGCUCACUACCAUAUGGAGACGUCUGGAUCCUUCAGGCAUGGACAACACCGCUCACAUGUGCAAACAAGAAGCGUCCGGUCAGCCUUUUUUAAGAAACCACCGUGGCUCUUUGUUUAUGGACUCCAUUUUGUAUCUCAACUGCACUUUGAAUGUGAACAAUUGUGCUCUGGUCAGAAACAUGAAAUAAUGUCUUAAAAAAUAUUAUAUUAAUGAACGUUUUGUUUUAAUGAAACAGAUUAGACUUUUCUUUAUGUUCCUCACUGUUGAAGAUUCUUACGGAGUGUGUCCGGGUGUUUCUUUGGGCUGAAGUUAGAAGUUGCUCCUAACCACAGAUCUGAGAUCAAAUCUUAACCUUAUCCUCAACCAGAAGGGGGAGGAAAUGUCUGACUCUGUAUCAGUAGUAAGGGCCAACUUCUACAACUUCUGUUUCAGGGUGUCUGGGAUUAUUGGGUUGUUUUUGGGGUACAGAUUGUGGCGUUGGCCCUUGAUGGCCCUCAAUGACCAUAUAUGCAACAUGGACAAAAAAUCAAUACGUCUGUAAUCGUGUUCAAGAAUGUUUAGCGCCCUAAGGGUCAGGUCGGUACUAGAAGAGGAAUAUCUGUUUAGCUGAGAAUCGUCUCUGCUCAGGCAUGUGUAUAUUUAUCUUUAUUGUGAAAUAAUUAUGGGCAUGAUCAGUAUUACGCCGAGUGCAUUACCUCCUGCGAUCAAUGGACUUUGAAUUUGGAUCAAUGGAUUUAGAUUCAAUGGAUUUUUACUUAUUAUAAUUUUUGUGCUCAUUGUUAUUUCUUUUAUUUCAGGCUUUUUAUUAGUCUAUUUAAUCUGUUUUACUCUUUGUCAGUCGGCGGUAUGUUUUAGUUUUGUCUGGCGUUCAGUAGACAUGUCACAGUGGCUCCUAUGAUAAUGUAAUGAUGAUGUAGUCGGCUGGGCAGUGACUCUUAGGCUGCAUCAUCUGUGUUUUCCUCUUGUUUCCUCUCAUCUCCUCUUAUAUGAAAACACAAGACAGGUGAAACAAACUGCAAAUAUUAAGAACUGUAUUCAAAUGGACAAUAUAGAUAUGCAAUUUGCUUUCGUCUUUCAAGGUUCUUUCAGAGGGGGGAAGAUGAAGGAGAAGAGACGAGGGGAGGAUGCCAAAGUAGAGUAUUGAGAUGCAGCCUUGGUUUUAAAAUGAUUUGCACGUGUCUGGCUGGUCCAGAUGACUCUGUCUUACUGUUUGGAUCUGAAGUAUUUAUAUCAUAUCUGCACGUGGGGAGAGAAAAAAACGACCUUCUGUUGUUUUUCUCGUUUUGGCUUGAUGUUGUUAUCGUUGGUUGUUAUUUUCCCUUAUUUUGUUCUUGAAGACUAUGUUUUGAAAAAGAGGAGUCUCUUUCCAAGGCUCACCAGUUAAAGAAUGCCAGUUGGAAAAGUCAGAACAGAAGCGGGACAGUCUCCAUUUUCAACUUCUCAUCUCUGUGUAUGAUGACAUGUGAAGACGAUUAACUAAUGUGUGUCAUUGUGGCCAAUGCUGCGUUCAGAACCAAGUGGGAAGGUGGAAAUUACCAGUUGUGAAUUUGUAAUUGUGAGUUUGAUGCUUUCACUUGCUUUGAACUUGUUGAUUUGCUUAAGGCAAACAAGCUGGGUCAAACAAACUAAAAGUAUAGCUAUCAUGCUUUGAACCAUUCCAUUGGCACUAAGAGAAAUCUCUACCCACCUGGGGCACCGGGCGAAAUGAAACUCAUCCAUUGGUCAAGUUUGUUUUGCAUGGCCUUGUGCCCCGGGUGGGUGGCGUUUUGUGAAAUCUCUACCUACCCAGUGCACCGGGCUUUGCAAAACAAAUCACCAUUGAGAGGGAUGACUGUGGUGAGUACCUUUUUAAACACCUGUUUCUCUCUGUUGAUUGGUUAAUAAACCUCACUGUGGGGACUGAUCUGA
This is an RNA transcript of Oncorhynchus keta (chum salmon), 7939 nucleotides long. It is a transcript of the gene named consortin-like, with no coding region annotated. The transcript has 3 exons. The record is from RefSeq and is a predicted model, not a curated record. NCBI's taxonomy places the organism in Eukaryota, Metazoa, Chordata, Actinopteri, Salmoniformes, Salmonidae.